ACUCAAAUGAAUAGACGGGGGCCCGCACAAGCGGUGGAGCAUGUGGAUUAAUACGUCACUAACCGUAGAACCUUACCCAGGCUUGACAUCCUAAGAACUCUCCCGAAAAGGAGGGGUGCCUCGCAAGAGGAGCUUAGAGACAGGUGUUGCAUGGCUGUCGUCAGCUCGUGUCGUGAGAUGUUGGGUUAAGUCCCGCAACGAGCGCAACCCUCACUGCCUGUUGCCAGCAUUCAGUUGGGCACUCUGGCGGAACUGCCCGGGUAACCGGGAGGAAGGUGGGGACGACGUCAAGUCAGCAUGGCCCGUACGCCUGGGGCUUCACACAUGCUACAAUGGCCGGUACAAAGGGUCCCGAAGCCGUGAGGUGGAGGCAAUCCCAAAAAGCCGGUCUCAGUUCGGAUCGCAGGCUGCAACUCGCCUGCGUGAAGUCGGAAUCGCUAGUAACCGCCGGUCAGCUAAACGGCGGUGAAUACGUUCCCGGGCCUUGUACACACCGCCCGU
RNAcentral lists this ribosomal RNA (501 nucleotides) under uncultured bacterium. RNAcentral's name for it is "partial 16S ribosomal RNA". It matches the Rfam family "Bacterial small subunit ribosomal RNA", at positions 899 to 1397 of the family's 1533-position model. The record is from RNAcentral.